AACACAUGCAAGUCGAACGGAAAGGCCCUGCUUUUGUGGGGUGCUCGAGUGGCGAACGGGUGAUUAACACGUGAGUAACCUGCCCUUGACUUUGGGAUAACUUCAGGAAACUGGGGCUAAUACCGGAUAGGAGCUCCUGCUGCAUGGUGGGGGUUGGAAAGUUUCGGCGGUUGGGGAUGGACUCGCGGCUUAUCAGCUUGUUGGUGGGGUAGUGGCUUACCAAGGCUUUGACGGGUAGCCGGCCUGAGAGGGUGACCGGCCACAUUGGGACUGAGAUACGGCCCAGACUCCUACGGGAGGCAGCAGUGGGGAAUAUUGCACAAUGGGCGGAAGCCUGAUGCAGCAACGCCGCGUGCGGGAUGACGGCCUUCGGGUUGUAAACCGCUUUCGCCUGUGACGAAGCGUGAGUGACGGUAAUGGGUAAAGAAGCACCGGCUAACUACGUGCCAGCAGCCGCGGUGAUACGUAGGGUGCGAGCGUUGUCCGGAUUUAUUGGGCGUAAAGGGCUCGUAGGUGGUUGAUCGCGUCGGAAGUGUAAUCUUGGGGCUUAACCCUGAGCGUGCUUUCGAUACGGGUUGACUUGAGGAAGGUAGGGGAGAAUGGAAUUCCUGGUGGAGCGGUGGAAUGCGCAGAUAUCAGGAGGAACACCAGUGGCGAAGGCGGUUCUCUGGGCCUUUCCUGACGCUGAGGAGCGAAAGCGUGGGGAGCGAACAGGCUUAGAUACCCUGGUAGUCCACGCUGUAAACGGUGGGUACUAGGUGUGGGGUCCAUUCCACGGGUUCCGUGCCGUAGCUAACGCUUUAAGUACCCCGCCUGGGGAGUACGGCCGCAAGGCUAAAACUCAAAGGAAUUGACGGGGCCCCGCACAAGCGGCGGAGCAUGCGGAUUAAUUCGAUGCAACGCGUAGAACCUUACCUGGGUUUGACAUGGAUCGGGAGUGCUCAGAGAUGGGUGUGCCUCUUUUGGGGUCGGUUCACAGGUGGUGCAUGGCUGUCGUCAGCUCGUGUCGUGAGAUGUUGGGUUAAGUCCCGCAACGAGCGCAACCCUUGUUCACUGUUGCCAGCACGUUAUGGUGGGGACUCAGUGGAGACCGCCGGGGUCAACUCGGAGGAAGGUGGGGAUGACGUCAAGUCAUCAUGCCCCUUAUGUCCAGGGCUUCACGCAUGCUACAAUGGCUGGUACAGAGAGUGGCGAGCCUGUGAGGGUGAGCGAAUCUCGGAAAGCCGGUCUCAGUUCGGAUUGGGGUCUGCAACUCGACCUCAUGAAGUCGGAGUCGCUAGUAAUCGCAGAUCAGCAACGCUGCGGUGAAUACGUUCCCGGGGCU
This 1324-nucleotide ribosomal RNA is filed under the name uncultured bacterium. RNAcentral's name for it is "bacterial SSU rRNA". It matches the Rfam family "Bacterial small subunit ribosomal RNA", at positions 50 to 1381 of the family's 1533-position model. The record is from RNAcentral.